RNAcentral lists this ribosomal RNA (257 nucleotides) under uncultured bacterium. Its description in RNAcentral is "partial 16S ribosomal RNA". It matches the Rfam family "Bacterial small subunit ribosomal RNA", at positions 99 to 354 of the family's 1533-position model. The record is from RNAcentral.
CGGACGGGUGAGUAACGCGUGGAAAACCUGCCGUAUACUGGGGGAUAACACUUAGAAAUAGGUGCUAAUACCGCAUAAGCGCACAGCUUCGCAUGAAGUGGUGUGAAAAACUCUGGUGGUAUACGAUGGUUCCGCGUCUGAUUAGCUUGUUGGCGGGGUAAUGGCUCACCAAGGCGACGAUCAGUAGCCGGCCUGGAGAGGGUGAACGGCCACCAUUGGGACUGAGACACGGCCCAAACUCCUACGGAAGGCAGCAG